CUACUUCCAAUGUAUGCUCCACACAAAGAAAAACUAUUGCCACUCGGAAUUUUAUUUAGAACGACAAAAAAAUUGGACACUGGUCCUAUUUCCUGUGAAUAGAUUGAGAACCAACAUGCAAGCACUCAGACCAAACAAUCAAUUUACAGUCUUGUUUUCUCAAAUUGUAACUAACACAUCAUCAUUAUUUGUAUAGCUGUGUGGUCGGAUGUCUUUUUUCUGAUCCAAACAUUAAUCCCUACAAUUAAAUUACCAAGUACUUCACCAUUGUACUCCGCCAUUCAUGCUGAAAAAUGUGUUUAGUACAAGAGACUUGUCCUCCAUAUUCUUCCAUGGAAGAGAAACUGAACUAGCAGAUACACAAUAAAAGAAAACAGUACAAGUAAUUAACAGCAACAUCAUAUAGGAAACAAAUUCAUUAUACAAGGGGUCUAGUGCAGAGAUGCUAGCAUUUCCAAAAUGCAAGCAAAAUCACUUAAAGAGACCAAACAUCAUUCAGCUUAAAUUACCAGAGUAAUCGGUUUUCCACAGUAGUAACACUCACCUGAAUAUUUCACCUACCUUAGCAGCAAUUUGCAGAAUAUCCAAUCGCCUCUAUCAAAACAUUCAACAUAUCAAAAAAGGUUCUGAACUAGAAAACCCCACCCCUUACGCAACCCCAAGUAGCAGAAAGAAAGAAGAGAAGGUGGAUAUUGCUCAAAUGGAAGUGAGUUAACAGCCUACCUCUUUUAAGUCACAGAGAGUAUAUCUUGAAAUGGAACUAACUAAAAAACCCUCCCACCACAAAUUUUAGUACAUAAAAUGCUCGACUGGAACUCAAUAAGGACGUGAACGAUUUCCACCAUGAAACUGUCUAUCUGGGCCGGAACCUCCACCGUCUCUGUAGUUAUCCCUGCGCCCGCCACCACCACCACCAUAACCUCCGCGACCGCCACGGCCAGAACCAAAUGCCGGAGGCGGCUUUGGUGCAGACUUUUCAGCCAUCGCUACAGUGAUUUUGUAACCUCUGAAGUCGUGAUUAUUGAAAAAGCCGCCGGCAGAGUGAGCUGCAGAAGGAUCUUCGUAUGACAGAACUGCAUCUCCUUUGUUAUU
Molecule: unclassified non-coding RNA, 1092 nt
Filed under: Hevea brasiliensis (rubber tree)
Lineage: Eukaryota; Viridiplantae; Streptophyta; Magnoliopsida; Malpighiales; Euphorbiaceae
Source: RNAcentral